GUCUGGGUGGUGUAGUUGGUUAUCACGCUAGUCUCACACACUAGAGGUCUCCAGUUUGAACCUAGGCUUAGACA
Non-coding RNA from Cucurbita pepo subsp. pepo (vegetable marrow), 74 nucleotides. The record is from the annotation of a RefSeq genome assembly. NCBI's taxonomy places the organism in Eukaryota, Viridiplantae, Streptophyta, Magnoliopsida, Cucurbitales, Cucurbitaceae.